GGUAUGAAGCAGGCAAAAAUGUUACUUUUGAAGGGGUUUGUAAUCUGCAUCAGAAAUGUUUUUGAGUCCUCUCACAAUGAAACUCUUUGAGCAGAUGUUUGCUGAUACGCUGCCUGUGAAUUCUAUGGAAAAAUAGUGCGCGUGCGCAAGCGCGUGGAGGGGAGGAACGCAGGAACAAGCAGGACUAACCGGUACAGACCGUGAUGCCGUACGGAACUGAUCCGAAGCGAGCCUGCUCUUCUCCCCUGUCAGCGUUCUCCUCCUCCAAGUAGAACACUUUGCUCUGAACUUUACAACUUCACGAUUUCCUGGUCAUCAUCAGGUACCUAAGUGUCAGCUGCUUAAGAAAAUGAAAACAAAAAACCAAACGUCAAACUUACCAUGGAAUAAAAACCACAGGUCCUCGCUUGGUUUACACACUGGUAUCCCCUUUCAGCACUUCCUGCAUCAUUGUUUAGAGACCAAAGAUUUCAGAAGGCAGUUGAGGGGACUGUUCUUCACUCCUCUACCUGGAUAUGUUUAA
This 523-nucleotide long non-coding RNA is filed under the name Chinchilla lanigera (long-tailed chinchilla). Its description in RNAcentral is "lncRNA (ENSCLAG00000026000.1)". Lineage: Eukaryota; Metazoa; Chordata; Mammalia; Rodentia; Chinchillidae. The record is from RNAcentral.